UUCCAAAGUUUCUCGGUCACGUGCGCGCCCCUGCGGCCCGGAGGUCAGCGCGCAGUGACAAAGUACACGGGGGAGAGGGGGCGCGGGGGAGGUGGCCGGCGGGCUGCGCGGCUUCUCCCAGCCAAGCGAGCGUUCGGGACCGAGCCAGAAGCGCUCCUGGGGACUCGAGGAGGGGGAGUCUGGGAAAGGAUUCUAAAUGUAUGUGUUUCAUGACAACCAAGGCUACAAAGAUGAGACUUCCUGCCAUUAAGAAGCCUCAUCUUGGGUCCAAGGAGAGGGAGAAAGGAACUUAUUUUAAGGAACUGCAGAAGCCAAAAAGUCUAGAACCAUCUCCCUGACCGCAGCAGCUGAAGUACAGGCCCGGGUCCUGGGCAUGGCCAGCGACCCUCUCACCCAGAGAUUUCUGAAUUGAGAGGAUGUGAUGUAGGAAGCAGAGACAGUGGGGAAUCGGUUCAGCCACUAAGGGCGCAGAGGCAUCCGGUGUCCAUGGCCAGCAGUGGUACAGUUCCAGCCAGCAGACUACUCUGAGGUGUGAUUUUGGCUGUGGUCUUCCUUGUGUAGCCUCUCCGGGUUCCAGCCCAUUUUCCACAUCUGGCUCUUUAGCCUUCCUGGCAAUUCGGUGAGCCACCCAGUAUCCUCUCAUAAAUUCCCUCUGCUUAUUUUGGCCAGAGAUGAUUUCUGAUGCUUCCAGUUAAGAACACUGACUAAUAUGCUUUGUGAGAGAGAUCUGGAGGAUUAUUUCCUUUCAUAUACAAAAGUAAAUACAUAUGUACAUGCAUAAAUGAAUAAAAAUAGACAAUAGAAAUAAAGGAGGUACCUGACAUUUGUAGGUUUCCUACUAGGGUCUGCACACACAGCCCUAGAUGUUUUACAAGCUUUCUCAUUUAAUCCUAAUGAGCAAACUCAGGUCCAGAGAAUUUAACUUCUCUAAGACCAGGUGGCUAGUAAGUGGCAGACGGAGGAUUUGAAUCGAGGUUUUUUUUUUUUUGACUCCAAAGCAUAUCCCCUUUGCACUAUUAAAGGAACAUCUAGGCCAGAGAGUUGAUAGGAUGAUGCAUUGCAUUGUCUACAAAUUAUUUGCACACAUUUACCAUACGUGUGUGUAUGGGCACAGGCACACUGCAUGAGAGUUUGAAUAGUGUUUAAUAUCUAAACAUACAUAAUGAUGCUGUCUUAUGCAAAACUUGGACGUGAGAGCUAAGAAAUUGGGAAUGGGAGCUGGACUGAGCAAAGGGAACCUGGAUAUUCAAGGAAAGUAGAGAGUGAAAGCUCCCAGAAGUGAGCUUUGAAUGUGUGCCUGGAGUUUGUGCCUCUGUACGUCGUAGGCAAGGAGUCAGGGCACUUGAGGAAGAGCUUGUGCCAGAGUGAAUCACAGAACGCAGGGGUCUUGUCCAUCACCCCAGGAAUUUGUUUUCUGUGGAGCACUCCGCGUGACUAUCUUCUAGCAAGAGAAGUGCAGUUGGUCAGCAUCUUCCUGAGUGGGUGGGGCCUGGGCCAUCCCUAAGGAGAUACUAAGUUGGGCCGAAUCACAUAUGUGCCCCUCCCCAACGCACAUGUUAUUACCAAGGUGAUGGAGGAUGAAGAGAAACUUCAAAGGUACACCUAAUGAUUCAAAACAUGCAGCCUAAAGAAUGGAGGAAGGAGGAGAGUGGGACAGUGGUGUUAGUUUGCUGUGUUGGUGGUGGUAGCAGGAUACAACCCCAGAACCCUGGUGCUCUUCCAAGUGUGGUUUUUGAACUUCUGGCAUCAGAAUCACAUCAAAGUCUUUGCUUAAAUGCAGAUUACCUGCUCUACAAAAAUCCUUGUAAGAUCAGAAGCUCCUGGUGGGGCUUGGAAAUCUGCAUUUUAACUGCCUUACUCAAGUGCUUCUGAAGCUCGCUCAUGUUUAAGAAGCACUACCUAAUCACUUUUUUGUUUUCCCAGGAAGCUGUCGAAUUGAUGUUAGCGAUUCAGAUCUGGUUAAGCUCCAGUUGUCCAUUAUCCUGGCCAAAUAAGACAGAACCCCUAUAGAGAUGAAUUUUUCACCACCAAGAGAAGGGGCUGGAUCCCCAACACUUCUAACUUCCUCCUGCAAACAGAGAUGUCAGCAUGUAGGACUGUGUGGGACCAGAUCAGGACUCCCAGGAAGCCACCACUGGAAUUGUGUAUGAUGGGGAGAAAGUGGGGACUAACAGGCUGCUCCGCCAAAGCUGUACCCUUUAGAACAGAAUUAGGACAUGGAGAAAAGAGAAUUGAACCACCGCAAGGAGACAUGCUGGUAGCUGGUAGCAACCACAGAGUUAUAAAUAUAAUGCAGCUGAAUCCUCUCUAAAACAUGAUUUCAUUGCAGGCACAUAGGCAUGCAUGCACAUGAAUUCUGCUGAACGUAGGUCUUUUUAAAGCACACAGAUAAUAUCACAUUUCUCCUCCUCUCUGAUCUCAACUUCCAGGAGGAAUCUAUGAGAUGUGAUUUUAAAACAGAUACCAUGCUUCUUAUCGAGGUUUUGCUCAUCUUUCCUUCCCUUGUGCUACCUUUUCAGGUUGUUAUCUUCUCCAUCCCCUAUAUCUUCAAAACCACCUUCAAUGAAUUAUGAUUUUU
Vicugna pacos (alpaca) is the source of this 2578-nucleotide non-coding RNA. The record is from RefSeq and is a predicted model, not a curated record. Lineage: Eukaryota; Metazoa; Chordata; Mammalia; Artiodactyla; Camelidae.